AGAGUUUGAUCCUGGCUCAGAACGAACGCUGGCGGCAGGCUUAACACAUGCAAGUCGAACGCCCCGCAAGGGGAGUGGCAGACGGGUGAGUAACACGUGGGAACGUACCCUUUGGUUCGGAAUAAGCCGGGGAAACUUGGUCUAAUGCCGAAUGUGUCCGAGAGGAGAAAGAUUUAUCGCCAAAGGAUCGGCCCGCGUCG
RNAcentral lists this ribosomal RNA (200 nucleotides) under uncultured bacterium. RNAcentral describes it as "partial 16S ribosomal RNA". It matches the Rfam family "Bacterial small subunit ribosomal RNA", at positions 8 to 238 of the family's 1533-position model. The record is from RNAcentral.